RNAcentral lists this small nuclear RNA (159 nucleotides) under Bemisia tabaci. RNAcentral's name for it is "U1 spliceosomal RNA". It matches the Rfam family "U1 spliceosomal RNA". From Rfam's summary of the family: U1 is a small nuclear RNA (snRNA) component of the spliceosome (involved in pre-mRNA splicing). Its 5' end forms complementary base pairs with the 5' splice junction, thus defining the 5' donor site of an intron. Lineage: Eukaryota; Metazoa; Arthropoda; Insecta; Hemiptera; Aleyrodidae. The record is from RNAcentral.
AUACUUACCUGGCGUGGGGGCUACCGUGAUCAAGAAGGCGGUUCCCCUAGGGCGAGGCCCUUCCAUUGCACUCCGGUUGGGCUGACCCCUGCGAGUAUCUCAAAUGUAUGUAGGGAUGUCGAUACUCAGGGAAGUAUCGAUACUCGGUAUCGAUACUGG